UAUAUAUAUAUAACCACUUCCAUCCAGUUUUACACCUGUUGCCGUUUUGGAGCCCCUGCAGUGCACUUUACAACAUCUUCGCUUUUUGUGCUUAUUUGCUCCACAGAACGCCGGAACACAAAGUAGUGCCAUUAGUCGUAAAAGUGCUCAGUCCCAUGCCAAGUCCCCCGAUUUACUGUGUGAAGGAAACGUUUACUAGAAAAUACUCCUCUGGUUCAGUCAUCCGGCUCCUCGGCUCAGGACAGAGUGAGUGGAUUUGUGUGCGUGUAGAAUUGUCGUGUCACUCGCUGUACUUUGGCACGCGAGGACUCGGUGAGGGAGGCUGAUCACUCUAUUCAGAUGCAUCGCAUUGAAGAGGAGAAACAAAUAAAGUGGAUUUCAUUGAGGCAGUUUGCAUUCAAGACAUGAAGACAAACAAAGUUUAACCUUUCUAAUCUUUAGCUGCGUUUGCUUUGGAUCUUUUAUAACAUCAUCUUUCCUCCGUCUGUGCUCUCCUUCCAACGAUGUAUCACUUCAUUAGUCCGCUUUAUAAUAUAAAGGUGGUACUUUGUCACUUUAUUAUUCCGUCAUUGGGGUUUGAUUGGUUUUCUUACCGUGAACAAUACAGGUUCCUUAUAACGCUGAAACGCUGAUAUCCAUUCUGGUUAAAGCGCUCGUUUUUCUAAAGCCUCUUUGCUUGGAGCUGAAGAAUGGCUGCCGAUGAUGACGGCAAUUAAUGGCGUCUAAGAGGAGCCGUAAGCAAUGAUGCAGUGACUUAAUGUGCUUUCUUUUGCAGGAGCUACAGUGAGUGUGUCAGUCUGCAUGUGUGCCACAAUGGGCCAUUGUUCAGGGGGGGAAUGAAGGAUGACUUCUGCUGAGGCAACUUAUGUUCCCAUGCAGCACCUGAAUAUACAGCACGAACUUGAAGACGCACAGUCCAGUUAUGAACACGUUUGCACCCAGAAUGACACACACACACACACACACACACACACACACACACACACACACACACAGCGUGUGCACACGGACAGACAGAUACAACAGACAUGAUUUCAGGAUGAAAACUGGAUGUUGAGCAGCGUGUUUUCUUUGUUCAUUGAUGUGAAUCGUCUCAUUUUAAAACCAUCAAAAGAAAAAAGGUGUGUUCACAUCACAGACUCACUGGAUAUGAUGACUUAAAAUGUGCCUGAUAUCUAUAGCAAAAAUCCAGAAAAUCACUUUUUUUUUUGGAAAAGUAUUUUGCAGUUUAUUGCAUGACAUAAGUAUGUUGUAGUAUACGCAUAUUUACACAAUGCAUGAGUUCAGACUCAUAAAAAGCACAACCACUCUAAAAUAAGGCUCUGCAAGAGCUCUAGCACCGCGCGUGCUGCAUACACAUGAAUGCAGAGCGCUCAGAAAGAAGCCGACCACCUAUUGAUUUAUGGCUAUUUUGCAUAAGCAGCUUCUGCAACAAAGAGGCAAACACAGGGAUGACCCCCCCCCCCGGUGGCAUUAGAAGAAGGGUUCACGAGCUUGUGUGGCGCGAUGGAGACGCUCACAUGUGUGUGGAACCCCAACGCAACGUGUGGCGCCACCGCCAUUUUUGUCAAAUUCCAAUAUCAAGGAAAAUAUAUAGAUUUCUACAAAUGUAAAAUGAAAGGAAACUUUCAUUAAUUUGGAAAAGCGGUGUUGUGGCUGAUAAGGGGCGGGGGGGAGGGAGGUGGGGGGUUCCAUGUUCCAGGAGAGGGACCUCCUGAACUCCAAGUUCAGUGAAGAGGGUUUAUACUGACUGUACACAUUGUUUGUUUGAGAAUCUCACACACACACAACUUCUAUUUAUUUAAAUCAGCCACAUUUCACAACGAUGACCUGAGUGGAGCGAACUCAACGAGGUCCGUUAUAAACACGCCGUCUGGUGUCCAGGAAGUGGAGGAGAGUUUGUACACCGAGUGUCAGACGUGGCUGAUAAACAGAAGAAAGCCAUACUGUCCUUCGGUAAACAAAGGCUGCUAAACAAAUAGCAGAGUGCGUUAUUGUUACUCACAUUCGUGCUUCACACAUACACACGCAGUUUGAAAAGGCAGGAGCAGUAUUUAUUAGCAUGCCAAAUUAAAAGAUGGCACAAAGGAACAUAAAUGACUCUGCGCUCCAAUAGCUUAAUUGCUAAUCUCUUCUUUUAGGACGGUGUUUAUUUCAUUAGUCUCGUUUUAGCGCCGUCGCCAUCUCUCCCUGCUAAUUAACUUGUUUGGAUUGAACGUCUACCCCUCCGUGCCAGACAGCACGAACACCGCUGCAGGGAAAGUAAAGUGUAACAUUACUUCUUUUUCUCCAUGGACGUUCCUAUCCAGAACUUAUCUCCAUGUCUCUCAUCUCUCUGGACUACGCCAUCCGGUUCCCCGGAUCCGAUGAGACGCCAGAAGAAAGCCAGAAGAAAGCCAGUAGAAGGCCAGAAUGCGGUCAGUAGAAGGCCAAGAGAAGACAGGCCAGAAGAAGGCCAGUAGAAGGCCAGAAUGCGGUCAGUAGAAGGCCAGUAGAAGGCCAGGAGAAGGCGAGUAGAAGGUCGAUAGAAGGCCAGUAGAAGGCCAGUCGAAGGCCAGUAGAAGGCCAGUAGGUUGCCAGUCGAAGGCCAGUAGAAGGCCAGGAGGUUGCCAGUAGAAAGCCAGUAGGUGGCCAGUAGAAGGCCAGGAGGUUGCCAGUAGAAGGCCAGUAGAAGGCCAGUAGAAGGCCAGUAGGUUGCCAGUCGAAGGCCAGUAGAAGGCCAGUAGGUUGUGUAGGAUAUUAGAAACAAAUUGACGACCCGGUUCAUAAAAUUAAUAAAAAUGCAUAUAGUGUACACCAGAAUACAGCCAUGAUUCUGAAACUGUGUAAUCCAUAAAGUAAUGACAAUAUUGUAAAACCAAUGUAAAUCUGCAACUGUAAUAGAAUAAUAUCGAUGCAGUUAUGAUUGUAUUUGAUGUAAUGUAAUCAACUGGAAUGCAUGCAUGUAAUACUUGCACAACCACUGAUAUUGACUAAGGAUCAUCCGAAAUCUGAGUUACACUGAACUCACCAGAAGACCACUCCCAGGGGUGUGGACACUGACUUUCACACCUUUAAGCAUUGUUAUAAAUACCUGUAGGAACCAUUGUUCUCGAGUUCACUGGUGGAGGCGACAGACGGGCACUAGGAAUGGUCAAAAGGACUGACCUGGGGCCUGUUGGUCGCUGAGGCCAGCGGCUCCUCAGCUGAGAUGUUCUUUUUAACGCAACGCUAUCUUCUUUAUUAAAUACAUUUGAUUUUAACCUUUUGAUCAGCGAUGACCUCUGUCCGUCCGGCGUUUCUUCAUUUUUGAACACAACAGUUGCCAGUCGAAGGCCAGGAGGUUGCCAGUCGAAGGCCAGUAGGUUGCCAGCAGAAGGCCAGGAGGUGGCCAGUAGAAGGCCAGUAGAAGACCAGUAGAAGGCCAGUAGAAGGCCAGGAGGUGGCCAGCAGAAGGCCAGGAGGUGGCCAGCAGAAGGCCAGGAGGUGGCCAGUAGAAGGCCUUUCACUGGUACCCAAUUGCUCCAGUAUUUGCGAGAUGAAAGUCUGUGCUGAGAGAAGCAACAGGUGAACGGGUUUGAAGUGGAGAGAGAAGAACAGGGAGUGACAUGAAGACGUGGGACGUUCAAGGUGAUUUCUGGUCUGAACGUGGUGUAUGUAUGAAACAUGAUUUCUUCAUCUGGAUUCUCUGAGGGGGGGACGGGGGGAAGAGGGGUCACGUCGGCAGACUCAGGGGGCGAAGCCUGUUCGCUGCUUUGUGCGACUGUGCUGACCUGAUUGGCAGUGAAAUAAAAAAAGAACAAUUUCCCGAAAGGGGAAUAUAGAAAAGGGGGGGGGGGUUAUAGAAGAGAAGAGAAAGAGAGGCGGCGGCGAGCGAAAAGUAAAGACAGUGCGCGUUUUUGAUGCACGAGGUGCGAGCGGAAGCAGCGAGACGAAGAGGACGCAAACGCCAGCGAUGAGGGGGAGACCGGGUGUGAGUGGGGGAGGGGGGGGGGGGGUUCUGAACUACUGAACGCCCCUAUCUGGCUGUGUAGGCGGCCAUCUGCACGCCGGGCCCUGGACCCGUCUAAAUUCAGGACGAUUGCACGGUUUCUCAAAUCCUUCGGCGCUAAAAGCUUUUCGCAGCAGCAUCGCGGCCAACGGCAGAGCUCUUUGUCCAAUAGAACAUCUUCUACCUGGAGUUUCUUUUUCCGUGACACGUUGUCUUUCGUUGUGCGCGAUGCCGAAGGUCGGUCACAUUUCGGUUUGACAGUGGCGCUCUGAGAGCAGAAAUGGAUCCGCACCAUGCAGCAGAACCUACGGCCUCAUAGAGCUUCAAACAGAACAGCCAGCUCAUCCGAGGCGGGUUCGAGACAAGCCAAGGCUUUGGUGUUUGACCAUAAGAUCACCACAACCCCCCCCCCCCACGGCAUCAUGAUCAGGGAUACAGUUUAUUUUCUCACCAUUAAAAGAGCUUUUCACCGAAUCGAGGGGACCCGCUGGCAACCAGUGGGGCUACUGGGGUGAAAGGCGGUUUUAAAGAUACACGGCCAUAACCUGCCAAUGGCAACGGGAAUAUAGAGCUGAAGAGGAGCGCUGAACCCCGCGUGGCUUCCCAGGACGAUGUCCUGAUGUCGAGUAAGGUUCAUUCUUGUCCGCACAAUAGGUCACGGCAGAGGUUUAAACAUUGAGAGAACUGGGAAAGCUUCCAAAGGAAGGCGUUUAGAAGGCGUCCAAACCAGACGACCGAAUCACCUCCACUGACCCCUUUCACGGCGUAGGAGUAGUGGUUCUGCAAAGUUCUGCAUCCGUGAUCUUAUUUCCAAAAGUCGUAACUGUCAUCAUGGCUGGGGGACGGGUUGUACCAAUCGAGAGGUAGAUUAAGAGCUUUAACUCCCACGAGGGUCCGGUAUGAUAUCCCCUUCACUCCUGGCGCUGAACCAAUCCAAUCAAACAUCUGCCGCCAUUGUUUUCCGCACAAGGGGCGGCGGUGAAACGCGCUCAUUAUGGAUCCUCCACCUCCUCCAUUCCGCUAAUCCAUGCUUCAACUGGAGUUCUUACCUCGAGUGCAAACUGGCUAAACAUAGCGUAGCAUCUGGCGGCUCCGACCAGGUUCCAACAAUAAACCAGCUGUGCGUCAUCGACUCUCAUGGAAUCCUGUCAGAUCCUCACGUGGGUUUUGUGGACGAGGAGCCAGCCGGGAUCGAACCCCCGAAGAGGGCGGAGGGAGAUGUCGGUUUCUAAACUGCUACGUUUCUACGUCAGGAUGCAUGUUUUCUAAUUGGGCUACAAAUGUAAAAGUCACUUCUCCGCUGUGAUCUGCAGAUUCAUCUUUCAUCGCUUUAAUGUAUUUUAGCAGCUGCACCAGUUUGACUUUCUUCAUAUGCAAACUGCAGACCCAUCUGUCUCUCUUUGUUCCUGAAAGGAUAACACGUAUGCAGGGCGUGUAGUCUGCGGUAGUGGGGGGGGGGGGGGGGCCUUAUCGGAGGCUGCUACCAGGACGCGAACCUUCAAAGAGCAAAGGCAGGUUCUUGCACCG
This is a long non-coding RNA of Gasterosteus aculeatus aculeatus (three-spined stickleback), 5497 nucleotides long. The record is from Ensembl. Lineage: Eukaryota; Metazoa; Chordata; Actinopteri; Perciformes; Gasterosteidae.